RNAcentral lists this ribosomal RNA (387 nucleotides) under uncultured bacterium. Its description in RNAcentral is "partial 16S ribosomal RNA". It matches the Rfam family "Bacterial small subunit ribosomal RNA", at positions 523 to 918 of the family's 1533-position model. The record is from RNAcentral.
AUACGUAGGUGGCAAGCGUUAUCCGGAAUUAUUGGGCGUAAAGAGUGAGCAGGCGGUUAAUAAGUCUGAGGUUAAAGCGUGGGGCUCAACCCCAUAAAGCCUUGGAAACUGAUUGACUAGAGUACGGGAGAAGUGAAGGGAACUCCAUGUGUAGCGGUGAAAUGCGUAGAUAUAUGGAAGAACACCAGUGGCGAAGGCGCUUCACUAGCCCGAAACUGACGCUCAGUCACGAAAGCGUGGGUAGCAAAUAGGAUUAGAUACCCUAGUAGUCCACGCUGUAAACGAUGACAACUAAAUAUUGCCGCGAGGCAGUGUUGAAGCUAACGCAUUAAGUUGUCCGCCUGGGGAGUACGGUCGCAAGACUGAAACUUAAAGGAAUUGACGGGG